This 580-nucleotide ribosomal RNA is filed under the name uncultured prasinophyte. RNAcentral describes it as "SSU rRNA". It matches the Rfam family "Eukaryotic small subunit ribosomal RNA", at positions 575 to 1159 of the family's 1831-position model. Lineage: Eukaryota; Viridiplantae; Chlorophyta. The record is from RNAcentral.
CGCGGUAAUUCCAGCUCCAAUAGCGUAUAUUUAAGUUGUUGCAGUUAAAAAGCUCGUAGUUGGAUUUCGGGCGUGGAGGUUCGGUCCGCCGUUUCGGUGUGCACUGUUGUUCUGCGUCUUUCUGCCGGGGACGCGCUUCUGGCCUUAAUUGGCUGGGACGUGGAUUCGGCGUGGUUACUUUGAAAAAAUUAGAGUGUUCAAAGCAAGCUAAAGCUCUGAAUACAUUAGCAUGGAAUAACCCGAGAGGACUCGGUCCUUAUUUUGUUGGUCUUCAAGGAUGGAGUAAUGAUUAAGAGGGACGGUUGGGGGCAUUCGUAUUUCAUUGUCAGAGGUGAAAUUCUUGGAUUUAUGAAAGACGAACUACUGCGAAAGCUUCUGCCAAAGACGUUUUCAUUGAUCAAGAACGAAAGUUGGGGGCUCGAAGAUGAUCAGAUACCAUCCUAGUCUCAACCAUAAACGAUGCCGACUAGGGAUUGGCAGGUGUUACAUCGAUGACUCUGCCAGCACCUUAUGAGAAAUCAAAGUUUUUGGGUUCCGGGGGGAGUAUGGUCGCAAGGCUGAAACUUAAGGGAAUUGACGG